UCUGGGAACAGUGACACCUGGACACCGUUACUGUGCGCCUGGACCAUUGGUCGACGAUUCAUUGGAACGUGUGGAGAGCUGAAGUAGAAAUUAAGACAGUGAUGAUCUGGGUCCCACCAGUUGCGAGUCUUUUAGAACGGCGAAAAUCACUCGCUUUGUAAUCAUAAAAAUGGGUGGUUACUUUUUCUACAAUCAUCACCGGUCAGGUUAAACGGACACUGGCAAUAGAAUUUUCCAGUCAAGUCGAUGCAUGUUGCUGACGGCGGGCAGGAGUUCUCUUUGCAAUCGACUAUAUCCUCGGCGCAAUUUUUACCUGAAAAAUGAUGUGAUAUGGUGGUGAAAAUUCCUCUCAACAUCGUACUCUAAUUUUUCAACAUGCCAGGGUGAGAACUGUACCUGUGUAUCCCGGAGGACAAAUACAGGUGAAACUCGGGCCAAUGUCUAUACAGGUAGCGCCAUUCUGACAUGCGCCAGCUUGGCAGGCAUCGUAUUCAUACUGGCACCCGAUACCGGUGUAGUCCUCGGGGCAUGAGCAAUUUAGUCCAGACCCAAAGUCCUGGCAACGACCAUUAUGCAUACAGGGAUUACCGAUGCAGCGCUCGGGUGCUGUCUCACAUUGCUUUCCAUCUGUUCCGGACGGGCAUCUGUUGCGAAGAAAAUGACGCAGGGGAUGAUUCUGGCAAGUGCCAAUGUCAAACUCGCAGUUGGCACCGGCCCAUCCGUCGAGGCAGCUGCACUUGUAACCACCUACAUCGUCCCUGCACGAGGCGCCGUUCAAGCACGGAUAAGACGCACAAUCAUCG
RNAcentral lists this long non-coding RNA (803 nucleotides) under Neodiprion pinetum (white pine sawfly). RNAcentral's name for it is "uncharacterized LOC124218291". The record is from RNAcentral. Lineage: Eukaryota; Metazoa; Arthropoda; Insecta; Hymenoptera; Diprionidae.